AUUGAACGCUGGCGGCAGGCUUAACACAUGCAAGUCGAGCGGAGAUGAGGUGCUUGCACCUUAUCUUAGCGGCGGACGGGUGAGUAAUGCUUAGGAAUCUGCCUAUUAGUGGGGGACAACAUUCCGAAAGGAAUGCUAAUACCGCAUACGUCCUACGGGAGAAAGCAGGGGAUCUUCGGACCUUGCGCUAAUAGAUGAGCCUAAGUCGGAUUAGCUAGUUGGUGGGGUAAAGGCCUACCAAGGCGACGAUCUGUAGCGGGUCUGAGAGGAUGAUGCGCCACACUGGGACUGGGACACGGCCCAGACUCCUGCGGGGGGCAGCAGUGGGGAAUAGUGGACAAUGGGGGGAACCCUGAUCCAGCCAUGCCGCGUGUGUGAAGAAGGCCUUAUGGUUGUAAAGCACUUUAAGCGAGGAGGAGGCUACUGAGACUAAUACUCUUGGAUAGUGGACGUUACUCGCAGAAUAAGCACCGGCUAACUCUGUGCCAGCCGCCGCAGUAA
RNAcentral lists this ribosomal RNA (501 nucleotides) under uncultured bacterium. Its description in RNAcentral is "partial 16S ribosomal RNA". It matches the Rfam family "Bacterial small subunit ribosomal RNA", at positions 30 to 523 of the family's 1533-position model. The record is from RNAcentral.